AGUGAACGCUGGCGGUAGGCCUAACACAUGCAAGUCGAACGGCAGCACAGUAAGAGCUUGCUCUUACGGGUGGCGAGUGGCGGACGGGUGAGGAAUACAUCGGAAUCUACUUUUUCGUGGGGGAUAACGUAGGGAAACUUACGCUGAUACCGCAUACGACCUACGGGUGAAAGCAGGGGAUCUUCGGACCUUGCGCGAUUGAAUGAGCCGAUGUCGGAUUAGCUAGUUGGCGGGGUAAAGGCCCACCAAGGCGACGAUCCGUAGCUGGUCUGAGAGGAUGAUCAGCCACACUGGAACUGAGACACGGUCCAGACUCCUACGGGAGGCAGCAGUGGGGAAUAUUGGACAAUGGGCGCAAGCCUGGUCCAGCCAUACCGCGUGGGUGAAGAAGGCCUUCGGGUUGUAAAGCCCUUUUGUUGGGAAAGAAAAGCAGCAGGUUAAUACCCCGCUGUUCUGACGGUACCCAAAGAAUAAGCACCGGCUAACUUCGU
This 491-nucleotide ribosomal RNA is filed under the name uncultured bacterium. RNAcentral describes it as "partial 16S ribosomal RNA". It matches the Rfam family "Bacterial small subunit ribosomal RNA", at positions 29 to 506 of the family's 1533-position model. The record is from RNAcentral.